Molecule: long non-coding RNA, 3120 nt
Organism: Strigops habroptila (Kakapo)
Lineage: Eukaryota; Metazoa; Chordata; Aves; Psittaciformes; Psittacidae
Source: Ensembl
UUUUUUUUUUUUUACAUCUACCACCAUAUAAUUCUUUCCAUUCUCUUUUUCCAUGGAGACAUAGAAAAACUGGACAGAUGUAGACAGAGAACAUGCAGGGCUAUAGUGUGAUGUGGCUCAGGAAAGCUGCCUGAAAUCAUACUAUUUUGUAACCCCUUAGUUUAUUGCUACAAAGAAGCAAGAAUGAGCACUGGAAAGUUCAGAAUUUCCACUAAUGCGCCACAGUUAGUAAUACAGCUUCUAUGAUAUUCCUUGAGAAUAUUCAAUCACUUGAUGCAUUUGACAGAAUAUUAAUUUUUUAUCCUACAUUUUCCAUUUUCUUAUGUUGUUGUUAGUAAUAAACUUUUUGGAUAUUUUACAUUUGUGCAUUAAGCAGCUGUUAAUCUCUGCAUCGUAUGUUUGCCAACUAACACUAAAUCACCGCGCUGAACAUGUAUUUACAGCAUGUUCUUUUUACUUCAGAGUAGAACUUUCAACAUCUAAAUUGUUCUUGCACUUGCUUGAUUUACCUGCUAGCACCAGAAGUUGCCAGUAUACAUCUGUAACAUGUUUAGUGAACAGACAUUUUGCCUUCCCUGGAAACUGCCUGGUACUGCAAGAGCCACUUUCCAAGAGAGUGUUUUGGGAGGAGGGUGGGGUUGGUCAUUUUAAUUGUUUCUACUCUUGAUAGACCAUACAAUAUCAGGACCUCAUAGCACAUUUUCUUCUCAUUAUCACCAGCUAUUCUUAGUAUUUUCUGCAUAUUUCUCCCAAAAGUAUCUCCUCUUCCAGGUUUCCCACCUCACAUCUCCAAACAGCCUGAAACUCCUAUGUUUUAGGAUUGUCCCCUUUAAUUUUAAUUAUAAUUUUAUUUUAGGAUUCUCUCAAUUGCCCCAAGCCAAAAUGGAUGAGCUCAUAUUCUCUCAGAUUGCUCUCUGAUUCUCUCAGAUAUAUUCCUAUGCAGGAACAGAAACUUAAUAUUAGAACACAGAAUCAUCACUAAAUUUAACUUACCACUACUUAUUAUUAGUUUAUCUUGUUCAUAUUAAUGUGCUGAAGAUAAAAUGCAUAUAUAGGCACACAUGUAUCUGAAGUUAUAAAUGGUAAACAUAUAAGACAAAGCAGUAGCUUAACUCCACUGCUGAAUAGUGAAAUAUAUAGAUUUGAUUACCUCCUUUAAUACCAACUUAAUUUGUUUUAUCCUGAAGUAAAACCAAAUGUGUUCAUAUUUUAAAGUCAAGACCAAGUGAAAUAUGUUUCAUAGGACUGAGACAACAGUUCAUAAUUUUCCAGAGAAAGAAUGAAGGGAGGAGGAAAUUAAACAAGCAUUCUUGCAUAUAUUUCCUGAUGUUAUUUUCAUUAUGGAGAAGUAAAAUUGCAUUUACUCUCCUGACGGCAAAGGUCAAAUAACCUGAUAAAAUGCAGUUAAUGCACUGAGAAUGAUUGAUGCUUAAAUGAAAAAGUCGUGUUAUUUUAUGUAGCAAAAAGUGUUCUCCCUUCUUUAUUCUCUCCAUAUCUCUAAUUUAUUUAUGCUUAAUAUAACAAAAAGGUCUACAACAAAACUAAAGGUCAGAGGAGCCUUCUGAAUUACAUACUCACAUAUCCAACAAAGAUUUAGCCAUCCAUGACAUUUUCAUAAUGGUAACAUACCACUUAAGUACUUGAAGUACUUAGUUCAACCACAGUAUUGAUUUUUAGCCUAAUCCUUGUCCUGUAUAAGUACUCACACACGUAUUUUAUAAACUUCAUGCUUCUCUGAAAUCAUCAGCAGUAGAUACUAGCAGCAAUCACAUGCACAGUAAGACAAACGCACCCGUUGAACUUGCUAACAUCUUACAGGAUCUGAUUUAAAACCCCCUGGAAUCAAUCCUGACCGUGGCUUUUAGCCCUCAGGAACCAAAGAACCGGUCACUCACCCUUAGAGGUACGUGUGUGCUACGAGGUCUCUUCAAUAUCCAUAUAUGUCAAAAAAGCAUACAAUUAAUUUAGUGUUCAACAGUUACGCUUUUCUCCUAUGGAAGCAUUUUAUGGAGUUGCUGAACAGCUAUCAGUGUUUAUUGCACAUGAAGUUACUGAGGUGUUCCAGAAAAACGCUAAAAAGUGCUCCCCUAAAACACGUCAAGAUCACUGCUCGCUCAGCUCACUAUCUGAACAGUCGUAUGCUGCCCUGACCUAGUGAUUCUGCUUCUAGACCUUAGAAGUAGGACAAAAACCUGGAUGAUAAAAAGCCCAAGGCCAAUGAGAUUUUUUCUGAAGUUCUUUGCUUGUUCAUCUGCCAGCAUUAAUUUAAUUUCAUGGCAACAGAGCUGUAAUAGGUGAUCAGUUGCUCAGGGGUUCUGUGUAAAAAUCACUAUCAGACAGCCAGACCACAUAAGUUAGAUAUUUAACAUUGCCAUGUAACACAAAUCUAUGGCUUUAAGUAUGUGUGACAUAAUAUUAAGCUGGACUGGCUGAGCCAAUAUUGAUGCUAUCCUAUUUGUGAGUAUUGUCUUUCAGGAUAGCAAUAGUUUACUACUUUCAAAUGCCGUUAUGAUCAGAAAUACCACAUUUUAUACAGUGGACACCUAAUACAAGUUUUCUGUUGGCUUUUUUGCUUUGAGUUUUUCUCUUCCUAUUAAAAACCCACUUUGGUUUGGCAGUUCAGAUUUGAGGUUACCUCAGGCUGCCAAAUCACCAUUGUGGAAUUUUAUUCUUUUUUUCAACUCACGAAGAUUACCAUUUGAAACACUUUCUAGCAGCCACUUGCAGUGUCUGAGAAGUGAUGGCUAUUCUCUAUUCUGGGUACAGCAAAAUGGUAUUCAUUUACAUACCAAAUGUAAAGAAAAAUACGUAACUACCAAGUUGGCUGUUUUGUUGGUACUAUUUUAUUUACAAUAUUACAACGAAUUAAAUGUAAGCAGUAGAAGAAAUUAUCAUGGGCGAGAAUUUCAAGCCUAGCUUCCAUCUUUUGCAAAUGCAAAGCCAAGCCCUUUCAUGGAUACAACAGCCGAGCUGCUGCCUUACUUUAGUCCUUUGCCUUCUGUGGGUUUUCUAUCUCCUUUGAACCAGUGACCUGGCUCCUACCUAUUUAGACCACCCCUAAAAAUACUUCUUGACUUAUUUGAUAUAGCUUCCAUUCUCUCCUGUGAUCCUGAACUGGGU